UGCAGGCUUGGUGUUGGAGCUCCUUCGAGGGGUUCCAGUGCCGUAGCGAAGGUGUUAAGCCUGCUGCUUGGGGAGUACGGUCGCAAGACUGAAACUUAAAGGAAUUGGCGGGAGAGCACAGCAACGGGAGGAGCGUGCGGUUUAAUUGGAUUCAACGCCGGAAAACUCACCAGGAGCGACUGUUACAUGAAGGCCAGGCUGAUGACCUUGCCUGAUUUUCAGAGAGGUGGUGCAUGGCCGCCGUCAGUUCGUACCGUGAGGCGUUCUCUUAAGUGAGAUAACGAACGAGACCCUCGCCCCUAUUUGCUACCCUUCUCUUCGGAGAUGGGGCACUAUAGGGGGACCGCUGGCGCUAAGUCAGAGGAAGGAGAGGUCAACGGUAGGUCAGUAUGCCCCGAAUCUCCUGGGCUACACGCGCGCUACAAAGGACGGGACAAUGGGCUGCGACGCCGAGAGGCGAAGCCAAUCCCGAAACCCGUUCGUAGUCCGGAUUGAGGGUUGUAACUCACCCUCAUGAAGCUGGAUUCCGUAGUAAUCGCGGAUCAACUUCCCNUGNGAAUGGCC
RNAcentral lists this ribosomal RNA (564 nucleotides) under uncultured archaeon. RNAcentral's name for it is "bacterial SSU rRNA". It matches the Rfam family "Archaeal small subunit ribosomal RNA", at positions 761 to 1328 of the family's 1478-position model. The record is from RNAcentral.